UAGGGAAUCUUCGGCAAUGGACGAAAGUCUGACCGAGCAACGCCGCGUGAGUGAAGAAGGUUCUCGGAUCGUAAAACUCUGUUGCUAGAGAAGAACAAGGACGUUAGUAAUUGAACGUCCCCUGACGGUAUCUAACCAGAAAGCCACGGCUAACUACGUGCCAGCAGCCGCGGUAAUGCGUAGGUGGCAAGCGUUGUCCGGAUUUAUUGGGCGUAAAGCGAGCGCAUGCGGUUUCUUAAGUCUGAUGUGAAAGCCCCCGGCUCAACCGGGGAGGGUCAUUGGAAAAUGGGGGACGUGAGUGCAGAAGAGGAGAGUGGAAGUCCAUGUGUGGCGGUGGAAUGCGUAGAAAUAUGGAGGAACACCAGUGGCGAAGGCGGUUCUCUGGACUGUAACUGACGCUGAGGAUCGAAGGAGUGGGGAGCAAACAGG
Molecule: ribosomal RNA, 429 nt
Filed under: Gemmatimonadota bacterium
Lineage: Bacteria; Pseudomonadati; Gemmatimonadota
Description: Gemmatimonadetes bacterium partial 16S ribosomal RNA
Rfam family: Bacterial small subunit ribosomal RNA
Source: RNAcentral